GACGAACGCUGGCGGCGUGCUUAACACAUGCAAGUCGAACGGAAAGGCCCUGCUUUUGUGGGGUGCUCGAGUGGCGAACGGGUGAGUAACACGUGAGUAACCUGCCCUUGACUUUGGGAUAACUUCAGGAAACUGGGGCUAAUACCGGAUAGGAGCUCCUGCUGCAUGGUGGGGGUUGGAAAGUUUCGGCGGUUGGGGAUGGACUCGCGGCUUAUCAGCUUGUUGGUGGGGUAGUGGCUUACCAAGGCUUUGACGGGUAGCCGGCCUGAGAGGGCGACCGGCCACAAUGGGACUGAGAUACGGCGCAGACUCCUACGGGAGGCAGCAGUGGGGAAUAUUGCAGAAUGGGCGGAAGCCUGAUGCAGAAACGCCGCGUGCGGGAUGACGGCCUUCGGGUUGUAAACAGCUUUCGCCUGUGACGAAGAGUGAGUGACGGUAAUGGGUAAAGAAGCACCGGCUAACUACGUG
This 468-nucleotide ribosomal RNA is filed under the name uncultured bacterium. Its description in RNAcentral is "partial 16S ribosomal RNA". It matches the Rfam family "Bacterial small subunit ribosomal RNA", at positions 28 to 507 of the family's 1533-position model. The record is from RNAcentral.